This 440-nucleotide ribosomal RNA is filed under the name uncultured bacterium. RNAcentral describes it as "partial 16S ribosomal RNA". It matches the Rfam family "Bacterial small subunit ribosomal RNA", at positions 338 to 795 of the family's 1533-position model. The record is from RNAcentral.
CCUACGGGAGGCAGCAGUGGGGAAUAUUGCACAAUGGGGGAAACCCUGAUGCAGCGACGCCGCGUGAGUGAAGAAGUAUUUCGGUACGUAAAGCUCUAUCAGCAGGGAAGAAAAUGACGGUACCUGACUAAGAAGCCCAGGCUAACUACGUGCCAGCAGCCGCGGUAAUACGUAGGGGGCAAGCGUUAUCCGGAUUUACUGGGUGUAAAGGGAGCGUAGACGGCAGCGCAAGUCUGGAGUGAAAUCCCAUGGCUUAACCAUGGAACUGCUUUGGAAACUGUGCAGCUAGAGUGCAGGAGAGGUAAGCGGAAUUCCUAGUGUAGCGGUGAAAUGCGUAGAUAUUAGGAGGAACACCAGUGGCGAAGGCGGCUUACUGGACUGUAACUGACGUUGAGGCUCGAAAGCGUGGGGAGCAAACAGGAUUAGAUACCCCUGUAGUC